CCUACGGGUGGCAGCAGUGGGGGAUAUUGCACAAUGGGGGAAACCCUGAUGCAGCGACGCCGCGUGGGUGAAGAAGCGCCUCGGCGCGUAAAGCCCUGUCAGCAGGGAAGAAAAUGACGGUACCUGAAGAAGAAGCCCCGGCUAACUACGUGCCAGCCGCCGCGGUAAUACGCAGGGGGCAAGCGUUAUCCGGAUUUACUGGGUGUAAAGGGGGCGCAGACGGCGGUGCAAGCCAGGAGUGAAAGCCCGGGGCCCAACCCCGGGACUGCGCUUGGAACUGCGUGGCUAGAGUGCAGGAGGGGCAGGCGGAAGUCCUGGUGUAGCGGUGAAAUGCGUAGAUAUCAGGAGGAACACCGGUGGCGAAGGCGGCCUGCUGGACUGCAACUGACGUUGAGGCCCGAAAGCGUGGGGAGCAAACAGGAUUAGAUACCCUAGUAGUC
RNAcentral lists this ribosomal RNA (440 nucleotides) under uncultured bacterium. Its description in RNAcentral is "partial 16S ribosomal RNA". It matches the Rfam family "Bacterial small subunit ribosomal RNA", at positions 338 to 795 of the family's 1533-position model. The record is from RNAcentral.